Coffea arabica (coffee) is the source of this 2687-nucleotide non-coding RNA. Lineage: Eukaryota; Viridiplantae; Streptophyta; Magnoliopsida; Gentianales; Rubiaceae. The record is from RefSeq and is a predicted model, not a curated record.
CCUCUCACGUGCCCGGCAUGUGGAUUGGAAGUAUCAUGUUGUUCGCGCAUCGCGCGUCAGCUUCCCAUCUGGUUUCGCCUGCCAGUGUCCCAUGUGACCGUCCGUCCUUCUCUCUGUGCGUCUGCUGCAUUUGCCUUCUUCCCGCUCCCUUCUCUCUCCAACUGCAUUUACUUCUCCCCACAAUGUUGCUCUGCCACUUACCCGCAUGCUCUGGAGCCUGCUGCAACAUUUUGUUGAGCUCUGGUAUUCGGUUCUCCCAAGCCCAUAGCCUUCUUACCGGCCAAGGAGCUGCCACCUUCGCUGUCGGCUGCAUCGGUACAGAUCUUGUGCCGUUCGUUGGCCUCUCCUCCUCUUUUGUUGUAAGCUCUCUUCUUUGUCUUUUAUUUUCCUUUCCAGUGAGGUCCGAUCCUCUCUUCAAGUUUCCUCUGUUCAUUUUUUUUCCCUGGCGUUCCUAUUUUUUUCCAUUGUCCGGUGACGUGCAGCUUUCUGUUUUUUUGCUCGGUCACUGUCUUCUUUCCGCCCAAGGAGGUGCCAUCUUCGCUGUUGGUUGCAGCUGUCCGGAUCUUCUUCCAUUCGUUUGGAUCUCUUCCUCUUCCUUCGGUUCCCAGCUUCAGUCCCUCGAUGCCUCCCUUUCCAACGCUUCCGACAAACUCACCCUUGCUGACCAAGAAAAGAUCCGAUUCUUAUAACCAACCCGACCAAGUCACUCAUCAUGAAUAUGAAGUCGAAACAGCAAAUGGAAGAACAAUUACAAAAAAAGGAAAACCAAAAGUACUGUAAUGUUUGCGGACCCAGGCAGACAUAAAAAACUAGAGACACCAAAAGCUGUUACACCUAGAGCUGUUACUAAGGGAACAAAGGGACAAGUUCAUACAAAUUCAUCUAAUAUAGGUGAUCUGUUUUCAGAAGGAUCUCUGAAUCCUUAUGCAGAUGAUCCCUAUGCAUUUGAUUAGAGGUAUCCCCGUUUCAUGUUAGUUCUAUUUGAAUUGCAGUACUUUAAUUAAUGUGCAGUUGACCUUUCCUGUAUUGGGUUAAUAGUUCAUGUACUCGGGUGCAAGAUUUACUCCAUAAACUAGACAAUUAUUUUUAUUUUUUUUGCUACUGGAAAUGGAAUGGGACAGCUUUUGAUUGUUAAACAUUUUCCUUUUUAUUAAGUAUGAAGUGUUUGGGUCGACUGUGAAGAAGCCAGUGCAAAAAAAAAAAAAGGAUUUGUCUACAAAAAAGGUUGCUUCUACCCACUGAUUAUUCUAUAAGAUUUAUUGCAUGCAUUGUUUUCUAUGUCCUGAGCUACAUUAGACGAGGAAACUUUUUUAAACGUUUAGCUUGUUCAAUAUUGAUCAGGUAUAAUGCUAUGAGAUCAUUUUGGUAAAUCUGCAGUCUGGCAUGAAUACUAAAUGUUCAGUUGUUCUUGAUACUGCUAAGGAGCUGUUUCUCUUAGUUAAGUUGUUUGUAGUAUCAAAUCACUGCUGCAUCUGGAUUUUGGCAGGAACUGUAUCAUGCAAUAGAAGGCUUUGCAAAUGGAGGAUGAAACUUUUUAAUUCUAGACAUUUUAGCACACAAAAAAUGUACAUUGCAACUGUAAUAAUGUUCCUUCAUUGAUAAACAAGAAUUAAAUGUUUGCAUGUGUCUGAAAUGCGAAAUUGCCUGUUUUCGUGGCUCCAAAACUCUUAUCUGGAAGUUUGAUUGCUAUAAUAACACAGAGCUCUUGUUAAAGAUGUAUGGCCAAUAUUGCAUUCCCCUCUGCAUCUUGAUUUUUUGUGAAAAGAAAUUAUGUUGAUUUUUCAUGUCACUUUUGUUUGUGCCUCCAAUCUUUUACCCCAACGGUAUCGUGCCACGUGAGAAAACUAAAAUCAAUUGAGGGUGUCUUGUCAACAUAUAAGACUAUUUGUAUACCUUGGUUGAGGUCAGGGAAUGUAUGAUUUCCCUAGGUGCAUCGUGGAUUUGUUAUUAGUUAUUAGUUUUUAAAAACUCUAUGUAUUCCUUGGUUUCCUUUUUUUUGGUGGUUAAUGUUAUUUUUGUUAUAGAGCAUGGAUCUGGCUCACUUUUCAUGAUGAUACUGGGUGUGUAAAUGUUAUUGCAUUAGGUGUCGAAGCUGAGAAGCUGAUUGGUGUUAGCGCGCUUGACAUGUUUGAGGCUGCUGACGAUGAGGUUAUGUGUUGCUCUAUUCUCAUGCAUAGAUACCUGAACUUGGAGAUUGUUCAACUAUGUAGCCAGACCUUUAAGUUGUACCAUCGUGUGGCUUGUCGAAUUGAACUGACCAGGCUCCUAUGCUAUUUCAAGCGUUCAUCCGAUGUGAUCAACAAAGUGACAUGCACUAAAUACGCUGUUGUUGCUUGCUACCCAGUUUAGAGAGGUUGUUUUUGGAUGCUUAUUUCUUGUGCUAUCUUGUCAGCUCGUGAACUUCUUUGAGCUUGUAGUGGCGUCGGUAUUAGUUUUGAGGCUUAUAUGCUAUUGAUACUAAUAGCAUUUAGUGGUUCUGUUCUUUUUAAAAAAUUUUCUUUGGGAUGCUUUGUUAUGCUGCCAGCUCAGAGCCUUUCUUCUUGGGCUGAGUUCUUAGGCAGCAGUAGUAUUUGGAAUAGUGAUAUGUAGACUAUAGACCACAUGUUUGUUACUUAGACGAUUCAUUCACUGGACAAUUACUAAACUUUGUUUUGUUUCUGCGUUUCUAAAGCCUAGAUCUUUGUAUA